Molecule: ribosomal RNA, 485 nt
Filed under: uncultured bacterium
Lineage: Bacteria
Description: partial 16S ribosomal RNA
Rfam family: Bacterial small subunit ribosomal RNA
Source: RNAcentral
GAUGAACGCUGGCGGCGUGCCUAAUACAUGCAAGUCGAACGCUGGAAAUCUAGCUUGCUAGCUUGAAGGAGUGGCGAACGGGUGAGUAAUACAUAAGCAACCUACCCACGAAGACUGGGAUAAUCUCUGGAAACGGGGACUAAUACCGGAUAGGUAAUCGGAAGGCAUCUUCUGAUUAUUAAAGGUUAAAAACACUGGUGGAUGGGCUUAUGGCGCAUUAGUUAGUUGGUGAGGUAACGGCCCACCAAGACGAUGAUGCGUAGCCGGCCUGAGAGGGUGAACGGCGAAAUUGGGACAGGGCCCCGGCCCAGACGCUAGGGGGAGGAAGGGAAUGGGAAGUUACGGGAGAGGGGGAAACCCUGCCCCGCCAAGGCCGGGAGGAUGGUGUCGGGCUUGGGGUAGUAAGUUUCUGUUGAAGAAGAAAAACGGAAGAAAAGAAAGACUUAAUGACGGUACCCAAUCAAAAAGGCCCGGCUAACUUCGUG